AAGAUCGUCAGCUGACCGGUUUUUAACGAUCCGCGCGCGCGGCGAAUAUCGAAUACCCAGGCAUACGCGUAUACCGUCCGACAAAGUCAGACCAGAGUGAGCGCGCGUCCUCGUCGCCGGGCGUGUAUAACGUACGACGCGCGCUUUCGCGCAACGUGUCCGCCACCACCUCUCCCGACGACGAUCGUUAAAUUAUCCUAUCACAUAUAAUAAAUAAAUAAAAUAAAAAACGCAGCCUCUUUUCGACUAUGUGGCUUUCCACCAAUCGAGGAUCAACGACGAGCGGGUCGCGACGUCCACGCGCGAGUCCUCCAACGCUCGCGCCGGCAGCAGUAAUCGCAAAUCGACGGCGACGCCUCGG
This 361-nucleotide ribosomal RNA is filed under the name Kerria lacca (common lac scale). Its description in RNAcentral is "partial 28S ribosomal RNA". Lineage: Eukaryota; Metazoa; Arthropoda; Insecta; Hemiptera; Tachardiidae. The record is from RNAcentral.